AGCAGCCGCGGUAAUUCCAGCUCCAACAGCGUAUAUUAAAGUUGUUGCAGUUAAAAAGCUCGUAGUUGAAUUUCGGGAUCAAGGGAUCGGUCAUGCCUUGGUAUGUACUGGUCUUAUUGGUUCUCACCUUCUAAAGAACCAUGAUGUCAUUCAUUUGAUGUUAUGGGGAAUUAGGACUGUUACCUUGAAAAAUUAGAGUGUUUAAAGCAGGCUCACGCUUGAAUACAUUAGCAUGGAAUAAUGAAAUAGGACGUUUGAUUCUAUUUUGUUGGUUUCUAGGAUCGACGUAAUGAUUAAUAGGGAUAGUUGGGGGCAUUAGUAUUCAAUUGUCAGAGGUGAAAUUCUUGGAUUUAUUGAAGACUAACUACUGCGAAAGCAUUUGCCAAGGAUGUUUUCAUUAAUCAAGAACGAAAGUUAGGGGAUCGAAGACGAUCAGAUACCCGUCGUAGUCUUAACCAUAAACUAUGCCGACUAGGGAUCGGAUGAUGUUAAUUUUUUAAUGACUCAUUCGGCGCCUUAC
RNAcentral lists this ribosomal RNA (520 nucleotides) under uncultured Glomus. Its description in RNAcentral is "SSU rRNA". It matches the Rfam family "Eukaryotic small subunit ribosomal RNA", at positions 569 to 1091 of the family's 1831-position model. Lineage: Eukaryota; Fungi; Glomeromycota; Glomeromycetes; Glomerales; Glomeraceae. The record is from RNAcentral.